AUAGUCUCCUACUCCUUAAGAAGAUGAACUUUAGAACGAACAGAGCUAAAGAACCAAGACAUCCUAUGAUGAGGAUGACACAUGAAACUGACAUUUUCUGGCCGGGAACGAACCAGCACUGCAGAGGCUGCAGGCAGCCCAGCUGUGAUGCAGGCUAUGGUCAAUCCUCGUGUGCUACCUACCCAAUGACCCCUGAGCAGUUCAGAACAUGUAUGGUGGCUGCAGAGGGACAAUUACAGAACGGCUGUGAAAAUCGAGACUGCUGAGGGAAGGCGCUGUGGUUUACUAUUAUGGCAUGAUUUAGAAGGCCGAGAUCCUGGUUGGAGACAAAUGCUGAGGACUAAGACUUUCGAGGCCUCCAUUAAGAAGCAGAAGUUCGGCAGCCUGCAGUAAGUCAGCCUUGGUGUUGAGAAGGCCUUAAACAUCCUGGGGAGCAGUGGGCUGUGUUAAAAAGAAUAAAAGAGCAUGUGUUGUAUUAAGGAGAAUAAAAGCUUUAACAUGAAGUACUAUUUCAGGACUAUUUAUGCCUUUCAGCUGAGACAGAAGUACUGUACACAGUGGAGCGCGUGGGAUCCCAGAGGCUGCUGGGCUGGCGAUUUCUGAGGCAAAAAUGUCUAAAUGCACGUGAAUUACAAUGCUUUUUAAUUUUAAAUUAUUUUAUGUAUAUUUGGGU
Talpa occidentalis (Iberian mole) is the source of this 673-nucleotide long non-coding RNA. RefSeq lists it as uncharacterized. The transcript is spliced from 4 exons. The record is from RefSeq and is a predicted model, not a curated record. Lineage: Eukaryota; Metazoa; Chordata; Mammalia; Eulipotyphla; Talpidae.